This 86-nucleotide transfer RNA is filed under the name Candidatus Woesearchaeota archaeon CG1_02_33_12. Its description in RNAcentral is "tRNA-Leu". It matches the Rfam family "tRNA". Rfam says of the family: Transfer RNA (tRNA) molecules are approximately 80 nucleotides in length. The record is from RNAcentral. Lineage: Archaea; Nanobdellati; Candidatus Woesearchaeota. RNAcentral also lists the same sequence under 3 other names.
GCGGGGGUAGCAAAGUCUGGUCAAAUGCGCAGGACUUAAGAUCCUGUCUCUUAGUGAGUCCGUGGGUUCGAAUCCCAUCUCCCGCA